GUGCCCUGGUGGUGGAAUUGGUAGACACAAGGGAUUUAAAAUCCCUCGGCGUUCGCGCUGUGCCGGUUCAAGUCCGGCCCGCACAGCA
RNAcentral lists this transfer RNA (88 nucleotides) under Photobacterium profundum. RNAcentral describes it as "RNA-Leu (TAA)". It matches the Rfam family "tRNA". From Rfam's summary of the family: Transfer RNA (tRNA) molecules are approximately 80 nucleotides in length. Their secondary structure includes four short double-helical elements and three loops (D, anti-codon, and T loops). Lineage: Bacteria; Pseudomonadati; Pseudomonadota; Gammaproteobacteria; Vibrionales; Vibrionaceae. RNAcentral also lists the same sequence under 1 other name. The record is from RNAcentral.